This 494-nucleotide ribosomal RNA is filed under the name uncultured bacterium. Its description in RNAcentral is "partial 16S ribosomal RNA". It matches the Rfam family "Bacterial small subunit ribosomal RNA", at positions 28 to 507 of the family's 1533-position model. The record is from RNAcentral.
GACGAACGCUGGCGGCGUGCUUAACACAUGCAAGUCGAACGGAAAGGCCUGCUUUCCCUUGUGGAUUGCGGGUACUCGAGUGGCGAACGGGUGAGUAACACGUGAGUGAUCUGCCCCCAACUUGGGUAUAAGCCUGGGAAACUGGGUCUAAUUCCCGAUAGGACUGCAGGGUGGUGCCUGUGGUGGAAAACGAUUUUCUAGUGGUUGGGGAUGAGCUCGCGGCCUAUCAGCUUGUUGGUGGGGUAAUGGCCUACCAAGGCGGCGACGGGUAGCCGGCCUGGGAUGGUGGACGGCGGCUUUGGGACUGCGUCACCGCCCCGACUCCUACGGGAGGCAGCAGUGGGGAAUAUUGCACAAUGAGCGGAAGCCUGCAGCAGCGACGCCGCGUGGGGCGUGUCGGCCUUCGUGUUGUAAUCUCCUUUCGACCGCGAGGAAGCCACCUGGUUGGAAGGGUGGUGACGGUAGUGGUAGAAGAAGCACCGGCUAACUACGUG